GUGGGGAAUAUUGGGCAAUGGAUGCAAGUCUGACCCAGCCAUCCCGCGUGCCGGAAGAAGGCCCUCAGGGUUGUAAACGGCUUUUGACGGUGAAGAAUCGACAGGAUGCGUCCUGUUUUGACGGUAGCCGUUGAAUAAGCACCGGCUAACUCCGUGCCAGCAGCCGCGGUAAUACGGAGGGUGCGAGCGUUGUCCGGAUUUAUUGGGUUUAAAGGGUGCGUAGGCUGGAAGGUCAGUCGGCGGUGAAAAGCUGUCGCUUAACGAUAGUCUUGCCGCAGAUACUUCCUUUCUUGGAUGAGGAGGAGGCCACUGGAACGGAUGGUGUAGCGGUGAAAUGCAUAGAUAUCAUCCAGAACACCGAUUGCGAAGGCAGGUGGCUGUACCUUAAUCGACGCUGAUGCACGAAAGCAUGGGGAGCAAACAGGAUUAGAAACCCUUGUAGUCC
This 445-nucleotide ribosomal RNA is filed under the name uncultured bacterium. RNAcentral describes it as "partial 16S ribosomal RNA". It matches the Rfam family "Bacterial small subunit ribosomal RNA", at positions 354 to 796 of the family's 1533-position model. The record is from RNAcentral.